UCCAAACAGCAACGCUCCUGAGUUUGUGUCCCACGUCACCUUCAGUCCGCUCAGAGCAGAGGAAUCAUUUCCAUAGAGAGGAGGCUUUGCAUCGUCAGCUGAUCCUCCACUGAACUGAGAAGCUUUAUAGUCCUGUGACUCCAACUCUGCAGGACUCAGACCCGUCAGUCGACCACAACCACCAUGACUCUCAUCACCCUCCUCAUCUGGACGCUGGCCUGCUGCAGCUUCACAGGAUGCAGCGGCCAGAUGACUGUGACUCAGCCUCCAGUCCUGACAUUUAUUACAGGAUCCACUGUCACACUGACCUGUAACACCAACCCCAGUGUUCAUAAGUCUGGUUCUGUUUAUCUUUUGUCCUGGUACCAGCAGAAACCUGGACAGGCUCCCAAGCUUCUUAUAUACUAUGCAUCAACUCUAUAUUCAGGAACUCCCUCUCGAUUCAGUGGCAGUGGCUCUGGUUCUAGCUACACCUUAACCAUCAGAGGUGUUCAGGCUGAAGAUGUUGGAGAUUAUUACUGUCUCGGUUAUCAUAGCAGUGGAGUGUGGACUUUCGGUGGAGGAACCAAACUCAACAUAAACUUGGGUGUGGUGCGGCCCACCCUGACCCUCCUCCCCCCCUCCAGUGAAGAGCUGAAGCAGGGCACUGCCACUCUGGUGUGUAUGGCCAGCGGAGGCUUCCCCUCAGCCUGGAUUCUGGGCUGGAAGGUGGGGGGCAGCAGCAGCUCCUCAGGGGUGUCUCACAGCCUGGGGGUCCUGGGGGAAACCGGCCACUACAGCUGGAGCAGCACCUUGAGCCUCCCUGCAGACCAGUGGAGGAAGGCGGGCUCAGUGAGCUGUGAGGCCAGUCUGGACGGACAGAGCCCUGUCACUAAAACCCUGGACCCUGACCUCUGCUCGGAGUAGAGAGACGACCGGAUGGAGUCAUUGUGCUCUACUGUGGGUCCGUUUGAUUUACAUGUGUUCUACUGCAGCCUUGCAUGUCUUCAUGUCUUUUCUUCAACUCAUUAUGACAGUCCAAUGCUGUAUUGUGCUACUUUUGAAACAAGAAUAAAUAUUUCAUGUUCUCAUGUCAUUUGUUUUUCACAUUUCUAUUUUUAUUUUACUAAAAUAAAAAUAUAUCAUCACCAA
Platichthys flesus (European flounder) is the source of this 1131-nucleotide non-coding RNA. NCBI's taxonomy places the organism in Eukaryota, Metazoa, Chordata, Actinopteri, Pleuronectiformes, Pleuronectidae. The record is from the annotation of a RefSeq genome assembly.